This 326-nucleotide ribosomal RNA is filed under the name uncultured eukaryote. Its description in RNAcentral is "partial 18S ribosomal RNA". It matches the Rfam family "Eukaryotic small subunit ribosomal RNA", at positions 1470 to 1796 of the family's 1831-position model. The record is from RNAcentral.
CCCUUAGAUGUUCUGGGCCGCACGCGCGCUACACUGAUGCAUUCAACGAGUGUACCUUGGCCGAGAGGCCUGGGCAAUCUUUUGAACGUGCAUCGUGAUAGGGAUAGAUUAUUGCAAUUAUUAAUCUUGAACGAGGAAUUCCUAGUAAACGCAGUUCAUCAAACUGCAUUGAUUACGUCCCUGCCCUUUGUACACACCGCCCGUCGCUCCUACCGAUUGAAUGAUCCGAUGAAUAUCAUGGAUUGAGGAUGCAAGCAGGUUCGCCUGUCUUCAUCUUCGAGAAGUGAAGUAAAUCUUAUCAUUUAGAGGAAGGAGAAGUCGUAACA